UAGUCCAUGCAGAAGUA
RNAcentral lists this transfer RNA (17 nucleotides) under Chlorocebus pygerythrus (vervet). Its description in RNAcentral is "partial tRNA-Glu". Lineage: Eukaryota; Metazoa; Chordata; Mammalia; Primates; Cercopithecidae. The record is from RNAcentral.